CUCCCAGGCCUCCAGGGCGCCUGGAGAAAAGGGCUCAAUCACUCCUGUCUCCCUUGCCUCUGGCUGCUCUCCAAGCUUACCCAGCCUGUGAUCAAGCAUCUCUGUCUCUGGCACACAGCCCUGCCUGAAGUCUCCAAACCCAGCAGAUCCCUGUGC
Mustela erminea (ermine) is the source of this 156-nucleotide long non-coding RNA. RefSeq lists it as uncharacterized. The record is from RefSeq and is a predicted model, not a curated record. NCBI's taxonomy places the organism in Eukaryota, Metazoa, Chordata, Mammalia, Carnivora, Mustelidae. The transcript is spliced from 3 exons.